UGGCCAUAUUCUAUUGAAACACUGGUCCUCAUAUGAUCACCGAAGUUAAGCAAUGUUGAACCUGAUCACUACCUAGAUGGGUGACCACUUGGUAAUACCAGGUAUC
Molecule: non-coding RNA, 106 nt
Organism: Acanthosepion pharaonis
Lineage: Eukaryota; Metazoa; Mollusca; Cephalopoda; Sepiida; Sepiidae
Source: the annotation of a GenBank genome assembly